This 783-nucleotide long non-coding RNA is filed under the name Homo sapiens (human). Its description in RNAcentral is "non-protein coding lnc-C12orf43-3:1". Lineage: Eukaryota; Metazoa; Chordata; Mammalia; Primates; Hominidae. The record is from RNAcentral.
CCUCCAGGCAGGGCUGGCUGCUGCCCUCAUCACCCCCCAAGCAGGCAGUACAGGCCCCAGGGCCCAGGUGCCGUGGUUACUGGGAGGAAGAGGCCAUCUGGGUGGAGAUGAAGGUCUCGAUGACGCUGUGGUUGGAUGGCAGCAGGUGGCUCUGGCCAUUGCUGGAGUCUGAGCUCUGGUACAGCACCAGGCUGCUGGAGGACACUGCAGAGGCAAACAAGGCUGCUAGCCACCCACCAGGCACCCACACCCACCCCACCUGCCUGUCCCUAGGGGUACUCAGGAUGGGGAGGCAGGGCCACACCUCCUGGAUCACAGCAGAUAACAGGAACCCCAAAGUCACACCUCUACCCUCGGUUCUUCAAAGGGAGCCUCCCAGCCAGGGUCCACGGCCGCCCAUGGAGUGGCCUGAGUACAUCUUAGUGUGAACACUGGAGAAGCCCCGGUGAGAUGCCGAGGUAGGUAGUUGUACGUGUUGGCUUGGCUAGGCUGAGUCAAACACUAAUCUAGGCGCUGCUGUGAAUGCAGGUGCUUUGUAGAUGUGGUUAAUGCCACAAUCAGUUGGCUUUGAGUGAAGGAGAUUACCCUGAAAAUAUGGGUGGGCCUCCUACAUCAGUGGAAGGCCGUAAGAGCAAAAACCGGUUUCCCAGAGAAGGAAUUCUGCCUCAAGGCUGCAGAAUUCACUCCCCAGAGCUGCCAGCAACAGAUUUCAGGCCUGCCAGCCCCCCGCAGACACGGGCCAAGUCCUUCAAAUAAAUCUGUUGGUUCUGUGUUCCUGGAGAA